GUGAGUCCUGCUGCCAGAGCCUUGAGCCACCUGCAGCAGGUGACUGGGAAGCUGGGUCCCGUGGGCCCCUGUAGUUUGAGGUCAGGUCUGUCCGUCCUCAGGACAACGGGAAAUCACAGAGUAUUUUCAGCCAGGAGGCUCCGCCUUUGGACUUGGCUUCUUCUGCUGAGCACAGUGGAAUGGGCAGCAGAGGGGACCCUGCAGAUGACCAGAGGCUAUUGGGGUGAUCCAGGCAGCAAGCCAGGCCUCCUGGUAAGGAGAAGGAGGCACCCCCCACAGAAUGGCAUGGACAGAGAAAUGUGUUCAAGAAGAACAACCAGCAAGGUAAACAAAUGUGAUUACCACCAGGAAACAGACCACAUGAAAAGAAGCACCGGGAAACUGGAGGAGCUGCCCAGGCAGGCAUUCUGCUCAGCUUCCAAGUUCAUUACCCUCAUUAGCCAAAGUCAGUGGACAAAACACCGGGCUUCCCACAAGGCCCGCGGACGUGGUGCGUUCACAUCUCGGCUCCGAGGGUAAAGUCGCUGAGCUGAUUCUUCUCCUGUUCCCAAUGCAUUUUCCGUUCUUUCUCUUCCCGUAAGGGUGCCGGGUAAUAUAGUCCCCGCACCCUGUGUUCCCGAGCCCCGCUCACCUGGAACUCAUCGAUGACGGGGAACAGCAGUGGCCCAGAGUUUCCCAGUGCAAGGAGUUCCAGAUGUGGACGUGUUAUUUACCCCGAUUUCCUCUUUACACAUUGUUCACAGAGGGAGUCAAACAGAUCGGGACUUCCCCGGAAGAGAGUGAAAUGCUGACCCUCGUGAGAGUGAGAGUGACCCCUCCUGCUGGCCUGCUGGCCUUCCUCCUGCCUUCAGACUCAGACCGAAGCCUCAGCUCUUCCUGGGCCUCUUGGCGCCCAGGCCUGAGGAGCUGGCCUGGAGCGUGACCUUGGGUCUCCAGCUUUUGACCUUGGGACUUGUCAACCUCCGUAGUCACGUGAGUUUACUCCUUAAAACGGCUCAGUCUGUCUGCCUGUCUGCCUGUCUGCCUGUCUGUCUCUCCAUCUCUGAUUCGGUGCUGAGGAGCACUCUCCGGGAGCUCAGGUCAGGUCUGUGCAGGAGGCAGGAAUGACCAGCUCGGCGCCCUUCUCCCUGGAGCAGACGGAGGCGUGCCUGGGGACCCUGUGGUGCAGGUGGCUCUUCUUCCACCCUCUGACUCUCUGUGGUUCUCUUCCUGUCCCUUCUGCCACCUGCCGACUGCCUUGGAGUCUCCCAAGGACACAAGGAGGCAGCCACCCUGAGACUCCGACCAGACUCCUAACGUGAGGCCCGGGAUGCGCAGGUUUGUAACGUUGGCUGAAGUGGCCAACGCCGUCGAGGGAAGGAGGCCGCUGCUGCUCAGGGGCAAGACCUCGUCUGGAGCUGGGCCUCCGAGCUCCGUGCCGUAGAGAGCCGUCCCUGGCUCUGCAGGCCCUGGCCACUCAGCCCAGGAGGCUCCACCACCUCCACUGCCUCCGCCACAUUCAAAGGCGCCCAUCCAUGACACUUCUUUACUGCAGUGAGUGUGUGCUGUGCUGCGGCCAACCAGGGCCUUCUACGUGCGGGGCCAGCACCCUGCCACUCAGCUGUCCCCAGGUCCCUACGACUGAAUUUUUGAAGAGAGUUUUAUUGUUUUGCUUGGGACGCUAUGAUUAAUUUCAAUUUCCAGUCUUGUCUUUUCUUAUUACCAAUAUUUCUUCCAAAUUUCAGUCAUGUCCAGACCCUUCAAAUGUUUACAGCUACAAAACACUGCCCCAAGAAUGUCCCAUCCAGGGGACAACUUUGUCCGGGUAGGAGGACGACAUGACCACAGGUCUCCCCGGAAGGAGACCUGAGUCACCAGGCCAGCGUGGAAGUAGGAGCUACAGGAGACGCUGUCCCAGGGCAGGACGGGACUGUGCGCAGUGAGAAAACUCAACAUCUCCCUCGGCAGUUUCCGAGUGCACUGUGUGUCGCGAGCCGUGGUCACUGUUGAACGCAGGGUCCCCUCCCCUCGUCCUCCCGUCCCAUGGGAGUCGUAUCCUGGGACCAUCCUCAGCCACCGGGCCCCAGCCCCUGUCAACCCCCUGCUCUCCGCUUCUGAGAUCGACAUCUUCAGACCCCACACCUGAGCGAGGUCCCGUGGAGUCCCGACGGGGGCCCGGCUUAUUUCACACGGCACAGCGUCCCCCAGGCUCAGCCGUACUGUCACCCGUGACUGCGUUUCCUUCUUUUUCUUGGGCUGAAUGGUAUUUCUCUGGGUGUGGGUGCCAGAUUUUCUUAUCCACUUAGGUCGAUCCCACAUCUUGGCUACUCAGGACCUGGGAGUGCAGAUACCUCUUUGAGAUACUAACUGAAUUGUGUCCGCAGGAGCAGGAUUGCUGGAUCACACUGCAGUUCUAUUUUUAAUUUGGGGGGAAUCUCCAUACUGUUUUCCAUAAUGGUUGUACUCAUUGGCAUUCCCACUAGAUAAACAUCUUAAUUAAUGUAUUGACUGGGCCGCUUUCACGUAGACCAGACAACAGGGACCUAGACAAGAUGGAAGGCUUCGUUCUCUUUCACACAAAGACCAAAGCAUGCAUUGACGGGGCUGUGUUGGUCAGCUCCCCAUCACUGUGACAAAACACCUGAGAUACGCAACUGAAAAGGAGAAAAGGUCUGUUUUGGCUCAUGGUUUCGGAAGUUCCUGUCCAAGCUGGUGAAGUGCCAUUUUUCUGUGUGACAUUGGAAACCAGGACUCCUGUAUGAUUGAGGGAAGAGUGUGGGCAGGAGCUGGAGGAAGGGAUGUCAUUUGAAACGGUCCCUGUUGAGACUGCUGAUAGGAAACCUGGCAAGACCACCCAUCCAGCUGGUGGAGUUGGGGACCGUGGGGUCACCCCCAUGGCAGUAGCCAGGAGCCCCCAUCAGGGUGCAAAGCGAGCCAGGCGUGGUUUGAGAAGGCAGACGGCUGUGUUUUCCGGUGAAGGUCUGUGAGGGCAGACAGCACAGUCCUCUCCACACGGAUCUAGAAGGUAGAAUGGAAGAAAACGCCCGCGUUUGCCCUUCCAGGCCAAGGGCGCGGGACUGGGGAGAACCGGCGCUCCCCAGAGUCCCUCCUGCACGUCUCAUUAGAGUUUGUGAAUGAAUGUGUGUGUGUGUGUGUGUGUAAAACAAGCGCCACUCGGAAACGUCACCGUCACCGAGAUGAGCAGAUGCCGCUCAGCCCUGUGCAAGGAGGAAGGGCAGGUGGGUCCCCGCGGCGGGGCACGGGAGGCCAUCAGUGAGCUUCAGGGCUGGUGACGGUUCCUGUGCAUGAAGACAGCUCCUCCUCCCAGGGCAUCCCCCUCUGAGUUAACCUGGGAAAGUCUUGUUCAUACUGUGACGUGUGUGGGUCAGAGGGUCCUCGUCACCCAGAGACUUACCCUCUUGUCCUCCAGCCAGGACGGCUCCCUGGCAGCGUGCUCUGCGGCGGCGCGCGCCUCCUUGGCCAUCUCUGGAUGGGGCUCUCGGGGUCGCGGUGGUAGGAGUGGGGUGACCGUCCCCAGGAGGCCAGCCUCCUCCCAGGUUUGGUCCAGUUCCUCAAGGACGCACCGAGGACAGAGAAGGACGCCCUUUUCCCCCGUGAGCGACUCAUCUGCUCCUCCGGAACCAGGUUCUUGAGAAGAGAUCGGGACCAUAGCCACAGCAGAGGCCCUCCCUCUC
Long non-coding RNA from Ictidomys tridecemlineatus (thirteen-lined ground squirrel), 3674 nucleotides. RefSeq lists it as uncharacterized. The record is from RefSeq and is a predicted model, not a curated record. Lineage: Eukaryota; Metazoa; Chordata; Mammalia; Rodentia; Sciuridae.